Molecule: ribosomal RNA, 460 nt
Filed under: uncultured bacterium
Lineage: Bacteria
Description: partial 16S ribosomal RNA
Rfam family: Bacterial small subunit ribosomal RNA
Source: RNAcentral
CCUACGGGUGGCAGCAGUGAGGAAUAUUGGUCAAUGGGCUUACGCCUGAACCAGCCAAGUCGCGUGAGGGAAGACUGCCCUAUGGGUUGUAAACCUCUUUUGUCAGGGAGCACCGCCGGCUACGUGUAGCCGGACUGAGAGUACCUGAAGAAAAAGCAUCGGCUAACUCCGUGCCAGCAGCCGCGGUACUAAGGAGGAUGCGAGCGUUAUCCGGAUUUAUUGGGGUUAAAGGGUGCGCAGGCGGAAGAUCAAGUCAGCGGUAAAAUGGAGAGGCUCAACCUCUUCGAGCAGUUGAAACUGGUUGUCUUGAGUGAGCGAGAGGGAUGCGGAAUGCGUGGUGUAGCGGUGAAAUGCAUAGAUAUCACGCAGAACACCGAUGGCGAAGGCAGCAUACCGGCGCUCAACUGACGCUCAUGCACGAAAGUGUGGGUAUCGAACAGGAUUAGAUACCCGGGUAGUC